ACUCGAGAAUCCCGAAUGUUCUCGGGAAUCCCGGACAUUUCACGGGAAUCCCGAAUAUUUUCGGGAAUCCCGCGCACCCUUAGUGUUCUCUGAACGCCCGUAGGCGUUCACCGCGCGUGGCGCAUUGAUCGAACGCUUACAGGCGUCCGACAGCACUCAAAGGAUUAACCAGCUCGAUCGAUUCUCAGGAUGAGGUCUUAAUUUCGUCAUUUCGAUUCGUUCCGUUUUGGAAAACCAAAACAGAAACAAACCGGUCUACCAAUCAAUGAACCGAGUUAAUCGAGACGAGACCAAGCCCCCUCAUACGGCGUUGCAGUCCAUGAAGAGAGUUCUGCAGUCUUGUCCUGUGCGGCCGCGUCGACCUGCCUCGUAGAGCGCCUCGAAACCUACGCCGCUCUGCCUCUGGAGAAUGUAGCUGGUAGCGUAUCUGGAGGAAUAACACACAAAUUUUAAAAUAACACGGUCACAUAUUUGGUAACUUGGAAGUAUGAAUCUGUUAGGUUUAGUUGGUCUUCCGCAACCAGUACCCUAGUGGAACAUACGUGUCCCAGUGAAUAUAUCUGGUUGCCAUUGUCCAAAUAACAGUCGAGACUCACAGGAACACGUGUUUAAAAAAAAUGAAUAUUAUUUACGCUGGGGCAAAUCGUCCCUUCUUAUCUAACUACGAUCUUUGAUUUAUAGCAAACCCUAGCUCGAUACAAUUAAUUUGUAAAAGAAAAACGAACAGAAUUCAAAUAGAAACCAGACACGUCGAAAGGGUUGACACACCUAACAAUGUGUAUUAUAAUGACUGAACCGAAAAUUCCUAAUUUGUAAUUUAUAGUAUAGUAUUUAUAGCAGUCGCUACUCGCUUCUGUUGUCGAAGCAAUUUUAAUAAUUUAAUAAUAACUUAUUAACCCUUUGCACUCGAGAGGUGACUCUCAGUCACCACUAGGUUUCCUUUAGGUUUAACUUCGUUGGAACUCGAAGUGUCAAUAAAAUGAUUGUCGUUGAGGCAAAGGCGACCUGACUUUCAGAUCUCAAAUUAGAGAUCUCAUUCGAGAAGUCAAUCUAAGCUUAGCAUUCGUGACAAUAGAAUGCUAAGAAAGCAUCUAGAGUUGCUGAUAGAUGCCAGACAAAAAGGCCUCGAGUGCAAAGGGUUAAACAUGGGUACCGAGGUCUACGCUACUCACAACGCCUGCUUUUCUUGAACGGCAACUUUAAAUAAACGUAUUUAAAAAAAAGAGAAAGGAAACACUUACGAUCCAAGUUGACAAAAGAUGGACGACGUGCCUUGGGCAUCCGUAACGCACUCGGCGCUCGCCUCGCAGAGAGCUCUCUCAGCGCAACCUCGCUGACCCUCGUCCUCGGCACGACCCACGUUACCGAAGGUCUUCAGCGACCUCAUGUAACCCUAAAUCCGAAAUUUAUUUCGUUUGCAAUCUAAUUAGAACCAACACGAUCGCAACAUAAAGUGUCCCAUGAAUUUGCAAUCACGUAAAUUGAUGCAUAUAAAUGGAAAAAUUUAAAUAUAUUCGUUAUUCAUGCUCGUGUGGGACAAAGUUACAUUAUCUCACGAGGGACAUGUAACCAGACAUUUUUGUCGGUUUUAGGGUUUCUGUAGUAUAUCUGUUGGCAACUGAACCAUAUAUUAUGUUCUAUAUUUUUUAUAUAUAUAGAAAGAUAACAAAUUUGGCCACCAAGGAAUGUACUGUUGUGUUUAUGCAAUCUCGGAAUAUUUAGUAUGGCCCUGAAACCUCGUCAAAGAAAAGGUCUUGGAUAAGUUUCGUUUGUGUUGUUGCAUGUAUUCCUCGAAACAGCGUAAACGUGCCCUAUGAAAUUGUUUCGUACAAGUAUAAAUAACGAAAUAUUUACCUUGAGCAUGGUGAUAGAUGCGACAGCAGCCUCCGAAACCGUGUCCCGUCUUCCCAAAGAUCGAGCCGUCAAGGAACGAUGGGAGAACGAUGUUUUCAGCGCGUCCAAAAGAUUCACCACUAUGUUAAUGAACUGUUAAAAAAAAAAAUUCAAUUUAUUAUCAGUUCCGGAAUAAUUCCUCGUCAACUCUUUCAUCCAUCGAUACUACUUGUCAAGAUGUUGAAAAAUGUCUGGAACAAAUCUUGUGAAAAAUUAAAUUUGCAAUGAAAAGAAGUUCCGCGCAUUUGUCCUCUACCUUAUCUAAUCAAGUUUUGUGAAAUGUUUGAAAUUAUCGCGACGUAUUCGUUUCGAUUAAUUUUUAGUCGCAUCUCUUUGCUAAAAUCUCUUUGCUAAAAUCUCUUUGCUAAAUCUCUGAACUGCGCCACUGAUUCUUGGAGUAAGUACCUGCAUAGGACUUGCAUCGUUGUUGACCUUGUCCAUGCCCUCGCCAUCGGGAUGCUGAGGACCACCAAUCAGAGCGGUGAUCACCCUGAAACCAACAGCGACCAAAUUUGCCCAGGGACUUGUCGGUCAUCGAGGCCAACCUUCUUCAUAGCGUUUGGCUUCUCAGCGAAUUUUCUGUCCUCUCCGUCUUGCUGUUGCACCUGCGGAUACUGAGGAUGCUGGGGCAAGGUAGCCGCUUGCCCCAAAACGAGCAGCGCCAAACAUAACGACACGUACUGAAUGUACUGCAUUCUGAAACAAAAUUCUUCCGUCUUUCUGUCUCCUUUCUUCGAAUUUUAACACUUUACCGGCCGACAGCCUUGUCGAUAGACUUUUUGCUAGGACAAUACUUUGUUAUCUAUUAUUGCGAUAACGUUUUAUGCUCCCGUCGUUGUAUAAAUAAUCAAAUAUUAUAUAAAUAUUAUAGAAAAGAUUCUAAUAGAUGAAAUAAAUAUCGAAUAAUAUUACAUUUGUCAGAAUAAACAAUAAGAUCCAAUUUAAUUGUAUGUCCUUUUGCUACCGGUCGGUAAAGUGUUCAUAACGAAUACUUUUUCCUUAAAUUUUAUCAUAUAAUUCUUUCUUCGAUAAUCCUCUUUAUCGCUCCUUGAUACGAAGCGCUUCAAUAAAAGUUAGUACAGGAGCGAUUCUAUUUAGGUCUCCACUCUGACCUUUGACCUUCUACCAAGAAACGAGGGAAAAUAAAUCAUAGGUCGAUACGCGUGAACGCGUAAACCUGAACGACGUCGCACAUCGCUGAGGAACGACGUCGAGCAAGAGAAAAGUGUGUCGGAGCGGUUAAGGUCACCUUGGCGUCACCAUCUAGCCCACUUCUUGAUCGAACCUGUCGGUUUGUUGAACUCGACUUGUACCGUUACAGGGAAACGCGGUCACGAUCUACUGUCGUCCUCGACGAUGAUCGAACGAUAAAAAAAAGAAGCAAUAUCGUGCAGAUUUGGUACACGUCUCAGUCACCAAAAUUCUUUCGUAACUUAGGAUAGGUCGCGAAGGAGCGGGUUUUAAAACGAAACCAAGCUUUAAAUGUAGAUACUCGACGGGUACGGAGAAAUAUCAAAAUAUCAGAACGAAUAACAAAUAACAUCCAAUUCUUUUUUAUACAUAUGUUUGAAUAUUAUGAUUUCGAAGGUAUGCAACGACUUAUAAAUGGAGUACAUCAUUCUUUUUCCAUUUGUAAUUAUUAGAUCGUGUAUAUUAGGUUUAGAAAUUAAUUCUGUGUUUUUAUAUUCAAUUAUUUAUAAAUCUAGUUCAAGUAGAAAUAAUUACUUGUAUCGUUACAUUGAAAUAAUACCAAUCUUCCAAAUUCUCCACUUAAUCUCCAUGUAUCCAUCUCUACGAUGAACCCAUGUAUUAGGUUGUCCGAAAAGUUUCUUUCGUUUUAUUAAUAAUUAACAUAUACACGAUAUUGUGUGUUUUAUGUUACAUUACUGAAUUGUGCACGAUUCAUUUCGCUUCGUUACCGUUACAGCAUCAAUGUCUAAGAAAUUAGAUUGUCUAUUUAUAUAAACACUGCCACAGAAAACAAUUGAAUGCGACUCGCGAAAGAAACUUUUGGAAUAACCUAAUAGGUACAUGUCCUAAGUCUCAACUUGAUGGCCAUUAGAAUAGAUUAUUGUUUGUCGAACAGAUUACAGGCGUACUCGAUAAUUAAAGUAAUUGUAAGAGUAUAUUAAUAAGCAAAGCUUCGUAGCUACUAAAAUUAGUAGAGAUACAUUAUAGUGACCAUCAGGUUGAGACUUAGAUUACGUGUAUAUGUAGAUACGUUGCAAUAGAGAUCAGAUCGAGGACUUAGAAGGUUGGUGUUCAAGGUUGGUUACGAUUAAAUGUAAUGUAAUUUUACAGUGAACCCUGAGACUCGAAAAUUUUUAAACAAGGCAUCCAUAAAUGUACCCUUUGUUAUUUCCAAUAUCAGAUUCUAGUAGCUUCCCUCCUCUUCUUCUAGAUAGGAAUAAUCGUGGCAGUUAACGUCUUGUUCGUGCUUCUUGAUACCCAAGGAUGAUAAAAGGAUUUUGGAUAAUUACGACAUCGAAUGAUACGAUAAAGCUAGGAAGGGUCGCCAGGCGAGAAAGACUCGCCAGGUGGACUUCCUUGACACUGACUCUCAGCUCUGAAGAUGAAAUUCCUCGCGGGGCCUGCUAUAUAGCUUGCGCAGUCACGUGGGGGGUAGGGCCGCACGGCCAAUGACCAACGUGCCUUUGGCACUAUUUUCAAUGGAACUGACCAAUCUUCCGACGCUGACCGCCGCGGAUCACGAUGAGAAAAUACUAAAUGGAGAGCUUGUCAAAAUGGCAACAAGAAUUCAAUGAUAGCUUUUAGAAUACGGUGGUUUACUUAAGGUCGCGUGUUAAUAUAUCGACAUUUUACCAAAUAAUUUCUUAACCACGAAGUACGAUGCUGCUCGCUAAUGAACGUACAUUCUCGGAUACCGUCAACAUCUGUAAUCAUCGGUGAUGGUAACUAGCGUAACUUUUUCACCCAGUUGAAGAAACGAAUUCCUUCCAGGCGGACUUGCCGAGUUUUAUUGCCACUUCAGGUUCUUCUCCGACGGCACGACCGCGAAUCAUUGGUACUGGUACUAUUUAUACGCAUAUUGUAUAAAUAUGUUUAUUAACACAGAAAAUAUAUAUAAAAUGUUUAUAUUACAUACAAAUAUAUUGAUAUAAUUUAUUAACUUAUAAAAUGAAUUUCAUACAUUCAUAUAAACAUUAUUAUUAUUAAUAUAACAUAAUAUAAAUAUUAAAUAUAUUAGUAUAAAAUGAAGAAGCGAUAUAAAGAAACAAUUUAAAAAAUCAAAUACUUUAAUUAUAAAAUGGUUCAACGGUAAAACUCACAAUGCCAAGAUCCUGCACUCGAGGUGCAGAAAUAUAUAUACAUAUAAAUUUUUUUGAAAAAACGCUUUUCAAAAAUGUUGAAAAUCGUAGUCCUAGUCGUUUCGUAAUUUUAGAGGAAUUUCAACAAGGUAAAACCGUAACUAUCGUUCCAUCGACUCAUCCACCAAUCCCAUGGCCAGAGGCUUUCCUUUUCUUUGCCAAGGACCAUCUUUUACACUCGCCGUCUUAGUGCUCGCGAUUCAUCAUAACUGUUUCGGUAGCGGGAUGCUGCCGCGUGUUCUUAUUAGGAGUAUCGUGCUAAUCAUGCCUCUCAGAAACAACCUGCGCUCCCUGUAAAGCGUAAAUCGAACCAUCGACGAAACGUAUUUAGCGACCUAAUUGGUCGUCCCCUGUCAAUACUCCUAGCGAAUUCCAGCGAGUCGAGCCACUCGUGCGGUAAACGCCGAUAGGCGUUCAGACGCGUGUGUUAAAGAUACGAGCACGGUGAUUCCGCACGGAUGUGUCUGCAUAUGGAUUUUAAUAAUAUUUAGACAAUUUUUUUUUUUUUUUUUUGGAAAUCUAGAAUGAACAUGUUUCAUAAACAGUUUAGAUGAUUGAUACGAAAGUUUUCAAAAUAGUGUUCCACAAGAAUAAAUUGUAUCGAGCAAGUACGAAUCCCUAUGAUAUGCUAAAUCUUACAUAUACUGUCAAGGUAUUUCUUCCAGCAAAUUGAUCCAAAACCAUCUCUCCAUUUACCGGAAGUUUCGUGGUAGCCUGUCGGGACAGUCAUUGACCACGCGACACACUUCGCUAGUCGAAUCGCUAUGCCACGAUACGAUAUUAAAAACCGGUUGUUUACACUCUGCGCAUUCUUGUUUAUAUUUUAAGUACCACGUGCAGUGCAACGUUUUGACGGCAUCGAUUCUCGUUUCUUUGGAUUUCCUCGAGCCGGUGUUUCUCAAAUAUCAUUCACCUGCGAACAGCUUCAAUGGCACUUUUGUGCACAGGGACUGAGCCUAAGAAUUUUUAUUGAAUGGUAAUGUAGCAAAAAAUCCUUUCCUUUGUCCUCUACCAGUAUUGCAUAUAUUGAUAAUCGACGCCUCAGACUUUAAACUCAUCAACACAUUUCGGAUCGCUGUUUCAUAUUAUUUUUUUUUUUUAACGAAAUUUCAGACACAGUAAGAGCAUCGCUAUUGUCCUUUUGGAAUUGUGCAGAAAAUAUAAAAUGAAUGAUUUACAGAAGAGAUCGUUUUACGAUUCUCUUCCUCUUGGACGGAGAGUAAGGAACAUGCACUUUCUUCGCAAGAGAAGACUUUAAGGAAUGAGAUC
This is a long non-coding RNA of Hylaeus anthracinus, 6491 nucleotides long. RefSeq lists it as uncharacterized. The record is from RefSeq and is a predicted model, not a curated record. Lineage: Eukaryota; Metazoa; Arthropoda; Insecta; Hymenoptera; Colletidae. The transcript is spliced from 4 exons.